UUCCAGCUCACCGGCAAAGAUUUCAGGUGAAGGCAGAGCUGUUUCAGAGGGCUCUGUGUGGAGGAGAUGGAGUGAACGGAGCAGAGGGCACAUCUGGGCUCUCUACAGUGUGAGGAGCUGCAGAUGAAAACUCACUUUGACAACAAAUGAACUGCAUCAUUGCAUUGAGCUCAACUACCUUUUCGAGCAGAAUGUCUUGGUUUGAAGCGAGGCAGUAAGGGACAAGCUCAUUCAGCUGUACUUUUUUGGUAGGUGAUUGUUCUGUAAUUAACCAGCAGACGGCUUAUGCACAUAAGGUAGGAGGGAAGUGCAGACAGCUGGGGCAAACUAACACACAAAGAAGCAGGGGAGGAAGUAAAACCAAACACACUGGACAAGAGAUAAAUGUCACCGUGAGAAGCAAUGUCAGGAAAUGAGAAGCAAUAACUAAAUAGGGGAACAAAGACACAGAACUAAACUACACAUAUAGACAACAGGAACAGUGACUAAUUUAUCAUAUUUAGUAGGAAUGGCAAACUUGGAAGGCUUAGGAUAUAAAGAUUGGAAAGGUUUGUGAUUUGGAUUGUUUGAAGACAUGCUUGAAGACCCUGCCCACAUCACUGACUUCCUAAAGAAGGCCACAGACAAAUCCCUGAAGCACUUAAUAGCUUCACCAAAGCACACAAAAAGGCACUUCAGAGGGUCAUUAAAAAAAUGGCCCAAAAAAUCAUUGGACAUCCUUUUCCCUCCCGGAAGGACCUGUGCUGCAGUCUGCUGUCUCCACAGGGCACGCAGCAUCCUACGGGACUGCACACACCCAGGACACCGGGUGUUUAAGCUGCUGCCGUCUUUCAGGAGACUCAGACUGCUGAGGUCACAGACAAACAGACAAGAGUCUCAGUUUCCACCCCUGGGCGGAGUCACGGCAUACCUGCGUGCCUCCACACCUGCUGGCAGUUGAGCUGUCAGUACUUAAGACCAGCGCUCACCCCUACUCUCUGCCAAGUCUUCAGCUUACCUACAUCAUCCUGCUGUCUGUCAUUUCCUCUGCUGGCCAUAUUCACCAUCAUCCCGAUGCCGGUCAGUACGAGACAGCUCAGUGCAAAAAGCUCUCUUUUUCACUCACCUGCCCUCCUGUCACAGCACCUACGUAACACCCCACCUGGAAACAGCACUGCCUCACCCAGACCUCUUCCCCCUCUCGUGCCUAAAAACCUCCACCUGCCAAGUAAGACAAGAUCUGUUUAUACUUCAUUCUCAUCUGGACUCCAUCGGCCUCGCUCUUAACUCUGUUUUCCUCUCGUUCUAGUUCUCCGUGACACCUUGCUGCAUUACCUGUUCCGAGUGCACAUUCCCCCUUGAAUUUCCCUACUCUAGUUGUCCUAGUGUUUCAUGCUGUUCAUUGUCAUUUGAGUACUCUUUAUUUUAUUAGAGCUGUAGGUAGUCUCUCUCAGUUUUCAGUAGCUUCGUGGUUCAGAGCUCACACUCUAAAUUAAUAUCAGUUCUUCCUGUUGUAAAUAAAGAGUUUUUGAUAAAUACGCUCACCAGUGCCUCCGUGAGUGUUCUCCAUAUCGAGUCUUUUUCCCAGGUCGGCCUUGGCUGUGACAUUAAUAACGGCACCGUGUUUCCUCCUCUAUUCAGCAUGCCAAACAGACAAAGAGCACCGCACCAAAGCAGUAAGGGAAUGUUUGGUGUUCAGCCAGCAGCAGGUGGAAACACUCACUGCUGAAAACGCCUCGCUACGAGACUUGGUCAUGUGACCCAGCUCAGUGAAGAAAGUAAAAUAAUAAUGAUUUUAAAAUAAUAAAAGACACUAUGGUCGAUUUCCACACUAUCCCCUGGUGUUUUCAGGCAUCCUGGAAUCUGCGGAAGAGGACGCAGAAGUUACCAUUAAAACCUUCAUCAGGACCCACCUGAAGCUUCCACAGGACAUGCUGAAGAACAUCACCUUCCACUGUGUCCAUGGCCUGGCAGCAAGAAUGAUGCCUGAAGACCGCGUCCUAUUGUGACCAAAUUCCAACAUUUCAAGCAGAAGGAACAGGCAGCUGAAAGGAACGGACUUUAGUGUAAACAACCAGUUCCCCAAAGAGAUUCCGGAGCGACAUGAGGUCCUGAUCCUCAUUCAGUGGAUCUUCAUUCAGAAGGGCUCCCGUGCUGUGGUCGCUGUGGAUGAACAGAUCAGCCUCAGCACCACUCCCUGGUUGAUUGACGCCACUCCAUAUAAGAAUCCACUACAUUGUUUUUCUUCUCCUCCGCUUCCCCUGUUAUCUAACUUAUUGAUGUUAAUUCACUAAUGCAACGUGACGUCAUGACAGAUAAAUUACCAUCAGUCUCCACAGCGUUAAAGUAUUAGUUACAAUGUUCUUGUUUUCUUUCCAGUUUUCUCUUUCAUCUCUCCCUCUUGCCCCAUUGCAUAUUUCCUUCUUAUUUUUAUGUUCAUUCUUAGUCUUAUAUGUUACUAUAUAUAUAUUCAUAUUUUCAGGCUGCUUUAUUUGACAAAACCUGUAGAGGACUGUAUUAGUCAGCUGUAAGGAUGGAGCAACCAAGAACCAACCUAACGGUGCCUACCUUCUACAGCGGCAUUCCACAAACAUUCAGCCUGUCAUGGCUGUAAUUGUAGUCCAUUCUAACACAGUUAAAAAUCAUGGUUGAUUUAAAACAAAAGCAACAAAAACUUUUACUUGGUUGUUAUCUUGUAGUUGUAUUAAUUACAGGAGUAUCUGUAAUAACCAUUUUUACAGAUGAAUAAAAGUUUGGACA
Oreochromis aureus is the source of this 2739-nucleotide long non-coding RNA. NCBI's taxonomy places the organism in Eukaryota, Metazoa, Chordata, Actinopteri, Cichliformes, Cichlidae. The record is from Ensembl.